Molecule: ribosomal RNA, 429 nt
Filed under: Pseudomonadota bacterium
Lineage: Bacteria; Pseudomonadati; Pseudomonadota
Description: Proteobacteria bacterium partial 16S ribosomal RNA
Rfam family: Bacterial small subunit ribosomal RNA
Source: RNAcentral
UGGGGAAUAUUGGACAAUGGGCGAAAGCCUGAUCCAGCCAUGCCGCGUGUGUGAAGAAGGUCUUCGGAUUGUAAAGCACUUUAAGUUGGGAGGAAGGGCAGUAAGCGAAUACCUUGCUGUUUUGACGUUACCGACAGAAUAAGCACCGGCUAACUCUGUGCCAGCAGCCGCGGUAAUACAGAGGGUGCAAGCGUUAAUCGGAAUUACUGGGCGUAAAGCGCGCGUAGGUGGUUCGUUAAGUUGAAUGUGAAAGCCCCGGGCUCAACCUGGGAACUGCAUCCAAAACGGGCGAGCUAGAGUAGGGCAGAGUGGGGGGGAAUUUCCUGUGGAGCGGUGAAAUGCGUAGAUAUCGGAAGGAACACCAGUGGCGAAGGCGACCACCUGGGCUCAUACUGACACUGAGGUGCGAAAGCGUGGGGAGCAAACAGG